RNAcentral lists this ribosomal RNA (915 nucleotides) under uncultured archaeon. RNAcentral's name for it is "bacterial SSU rRNA". It matches the Rfam family "Archaeal small subunit ribosomal RNA", at positions 1 to 922 of the family's 1478-position model. The record is from RNAcentral.
UUUCCGGUUGAUCCUGCCGGACCUGACUGCUAUCGGAUUGAUACUAAGCCAUGUGAGUCUUUGUAGCAAUACAAGGCAGACGGCUCAGUAACACGUAGUCAAUCUAACCUAUAGACGGGGAUAACCUCGGGAAACUGAGAAUAAUACCCGAUAGAUCAUUAUGCCUGGAAUGGUUUAUGGUUGAAAUGAUUUUUCGCUAUAGGAUGGGACUGCGGUCUAUCAGCUUGUUGGUGAGGUAAUGGCCCACCAAGGCUAUAACAGAUACGGGCUCUGAGAGGAGAAGCCCGGAGAUGGGUACUGAGACACGGACCCANGCCCUAUGGGGCGCAGCAGGCGAGAAAACUUUGCAAUGUGCGAAAGCACNACAAGGUUAAUCCGAGUGUUUCCUGCUAAAGGAAUCUUUUGUCAGUCCUAAAAACACCGAUGAAUAAGGGGUGGGCAAGUUCUGGUGUCAGCCGCCGCGGUAAAACCAGCACCUCAAGUGGUCAGGAGGAUUAUUGGGCCUAAAGCAUCCGUAGCCGGCUCUGUAAGUUUUCGGUUAAAUCCAUAUGCUCAACGUAUGGGCUGCCGGGAAUACUGCAAAGCUAGGGAGUGGGAGAGGUAGACGGUACUCGGUAGGAAGGGGUAAAAUCCUUUGAUCUAUUGAUGACCACCUGUGGCGAAGGCGGUCUACUAGAACACGUCCGACGGUGAGGGAUGAAAGCUGGGGGAGCAAACCGGAUUAGGUACCCGGGUAGUCCCAGCUGUAAACAAUGCAAACUCAGUGAUGCACUGGCUUGUGGCCAGUGCAGUGCCGCAGGGAAGCCGUUAAGUUUGCCGCCUGGGAAGUACGUACGCAAGUAUGAAACUUAAAGGAAUUGGCGGGGGAGCACCACAAGGGGUGAAGCCUGCGGUUCAAUUGGAUUCAACGCCGGA